This 176-nucleotide small RNA is filed under the name Chrysemys picta bellii (western painted turtle). Its description in RNAcentral is "TUC338 (ENSCPBG00000011585.1)". The record is from RNAcentral. Lineage: Eukaryota; Metazoa; Chordata; Testudines; Emydidae.
UUGACAGCCCUGAAGAAUGGAAUCCUCAGUUUAUGCCCAUAAUGGCUAGAGAACAGGCAGCAGCAAUCCAAGCUUCUCCACACCACCCUAUCAAUGUACCUCAACCCUAACCUGGAAGCAGCUUCCCUAGGGCUGAAAGGGUCCAUUCAGUACUUACCCUCCAGACUGAGGCUGCA